GGCUUGGUAAUUGGAAUGAGGGAGAGUUAAACGGACCAUCGAGUAUCCAUUGGAGGGCAAGUCUGGUGCCAGCAGCUGCGGUAAUACCAGCCCCAAUAGCGUAUAUUAAAGUUGUUGCAGUUAAAAAGCUCGUAGUUGGACUUGUGUGCGCUGUCCGCGGGUGGCCUGCGCCCAAAAGGGCGUUUCGGUUCGGCCCCGGUGGCGCCUUGAAAUCUGCAGCUGGGGGGACGUUGGCCUUAACUGGUCGGCGACCGCACGCCGGCUGCUCGGUUACUGUGAGAAAAUUAGAGUGUUCAAGGCAGGCGUUGGGUGCAAUUGAAUACAUUAGCAUGGAAUAAUAAAAUAUGGCUCCUGCCGUAUUUUGUUGGUUUUGACUGGUGGGAGUAAUGAUUGAUAGGGACGGUUGGGGGUGCUAGUAUUGAGCGGCCAGAGGUGAAAUUCAUGGAUUCGCUCAAGACUAACUUAUGCGAAAGCAUUCACCAAGGACGUCCUCUUUAAUCAAGAACGAAAGUUGGGGGAUCGAAGACGAUCAGAUACCGUCGUAGUCUCAACCAUAAACUAUGUCGACUUGGGAUCGGCGGUAGUUUUUUCAUUAAGACACUGUCGGGACCACGGGAGAAAUCAAAGUGUCUGGACUCUGGGGGAAGUAUGGUCGCAAGGCUGAAACUUGAAGGAAUUGACGGAAGGGCACCACCAGGAGUGGAGCCUGCGGCUUAAUUUGACCCAACACGGGGUAACUUACCAGGUCCAGAGAUGUAGAGGAUUGACAGAUUGAAGCUCUUUCUUGAUCACUUCUGUGGUGGUGCAUGGCCGUUCUUAGUUGGUGGAGUGAUUUGUCUGGUUAAUUCCGUUAACGAACGAGACCUCAGCCUGCUAGUGUAGUCGGCUGGAUUGCCUUUGGCGAUCCGUGAUUUCGACUUCUUAGAGGGACAAUCGACGCGCAGUCGAUGGAAGUUUGAGGCAAUAACAGGUCUGUGAUGCCCUUAGAUGUUCUGGGCCGCACGCGCGCUACACUGCUGGGCUCAGCGAGUUUUACUUGGCCGAGAGGCCCGGUUAAUCUUGUGAAAUCCCAGCGUGCUUGGGCUCGCCUCCUGCAACUGGAGGCGCCAACGAGGAAUUCCUAGUAGACGCAGGUCAUCAACCUGCAUCGAUUACGUCCCUGCCCUUUGUACACACCGCCCGUCGUUCCAUAAGAGUGAGGCAUCCGGUGAAUUCUCGGGAGAGCCUGGGCGUGGCCAGCAAUGGUCUGCUCGGGUUUGAACUUGCAUAAACUUGGUGCCUAUGAUUAGGG
Molecule: ribosomal RNA, 1291 nt
Filed under: metagenome
Description: SSU rRNA
Rfam family: Eukaryotic small subunit ribosomal RNA
Source: RNAcentral